RNAcentral lists this transfer-messenger RNA (357 nucleotides) under Geobacter sp. It matches the Rfam family "transfer-messenger RNA". Rfam says of the family: Bacterial tmRNA, also known as 10Sa RNA or SsrA, is named for its dual tRNA and mRNA-like properties. Its role is to liberate the mRNA from a stalled ribosome. To accomplish this part of the tmRNA is used as a reading frame that ends in a translation stop signal. RNAcentral also lists the same sequence under 1 other name. Lineage: Bacteria; Pseudomonadati; Thermodesulfobacteriota; Desulfuromonadia; Geobacterales; Geobacteraceae. The record is from RNAcentral.
GGGGGUGUAAAGGUUUCGACGGGGGUAGGAAGCAAAGGUUGCAUGCCGGGGAUGUGGGUUGGCCCCGUUAACAAUCCCACACGGCUAUAAAUGCCGACAAUUAUGAUUACGCUGUAGCAGCUUAAUAACCUGUUACCGUCCGCCUGAGCUCCUCCCGUGGGCAAGGUGCGGACGUCAUUUACACGGGAUAGUUCCCCCGAGCGCCUUUGGCGGGGGGGCGAAAUCAAAGGAGGAUCGCAGCCAGGUAUCCCGUUCAGUGGAGACGACAGCUGUUAAACCUUAAAUACUGAAACAAGCAUGUAGACCCCUUAUGCGUAUGACUUUCGGACGCGGGUUCGAUUCCCGCCACCUCCACCA